This 428-nucleotide long non-coding RNA is filed under the name Theobroma cacao (cacao). RNAcentral describes it as "long non-coding RNA (TCAC_LNC002182)". Lineage: Eukaryota; Viridiplantae; Streptophyta; Magnoliopsida; Malvales; Malvaceae. The record is from RNAcentral.
UCUGAAUAAAGCAGUUCAAAUUUGAACUCUCAAGUACUUAAAGAGGCUAUAAUAUCAUGUGAAAGAACUAUUUUGAUCUUUAAAGUUUGAACUGGUAGAUGAAUAUCAACCAUUGGAAUCUUUGCAAUACCUUUCUGAAAAUUGAUAUACAUUCAUGGAUUUGGCAGGCACAGGAAAUCGGAAAAGCGGCCAGUAGCUUCAUGGAAGAGCAGCUGAAAAUGGACUACAUUUAUGAUUAUAUGUAUCAUCUGUUAAACGAGUAUGCUAAGUUGUUAAAAUUUGAGCCAAGAAUACCUGAAGGAGCCGUGGAGUUGUGCUCAGAGGUCAUGGCCUGUCAUGCAGAAGGAAUUGAAGGGCGGAAGAAGAAGUUCAUGAUGGAAUCCUUGGUGAAAGGUCCUUCUGUUUCAAGUCCAUGCACCCUGCCUCCU